Molecule: non-coding RNA, 113 nt
Organism: Acanthosepion pharaonis
Lineage: Eukaryota; Metazoa; Mollusca; Cephalopoda; Sepiida; Sepiidae
Source: the annotation of a GenBank genome assembly
UUACGGUGAUAUCACUUUGCAACACUGGUCCUCGUCCGAUCACCUAAGUUAGCCAACCACGAGCCUGGACAGUACCUUGAUGGGUGACCGGUUGGGAAUGGCAGCUGUUGUAG